RNAcentral lists this ribosomal RNA (578 nucleotides) under uncultured Cortinarius. RNAcentral's name for it is "eukaryotic LSU rRNA". The stretch from base 88 to 241 matches the Rfam family "5.8S ribosomal RNA". The record is from RNAcentral. Lineage: Eukaryota; Fungi; Basidiomycota; Agaricomycetes; Agaricales; Cortinariaceae.
CCUUUUGUAGNCCUUUCAGGUNUAUGUUGNUUCAUUUAUACCCCAAUGUAUGUUAAUAGAAUGUUGUGCCUAUAUUAUAAUAUAUACAACUUUCAGCAACGGAUCUCUUGGCUCUCGCAUCGAUGAAGAACGCAGCGAAAUGCGAUAAGUAAUGUGAAUUGCAGAAUUCAGUGAAUCAUNGAAUUUUUGAACGCNCCUUGCGCUCCUUGGUAUUCCGAGGAGCAUGCCUGUUUGAGUGUCAUUAAUAUAUAUCAAACCAACCUUCUNUUGUUGAUUGGUUUGGAUGUGGGGGUUUCUUUUUUGCUGGCCUGUUCAGCUCCCCUGAAAUGCNUUAGCAGAACAAAAAAAACCCUGGUUCAUUGGUGUGAUAACUAUCUACGCUAUUGAANGUGAGGGGGAAAAGUUCAGCUUUCCAACCGUCCUUUGGACAAUUCAUCAUUAAUGUGACCUCAAAUCAGGUAGGACUACCCGCUGAACUUAAGCAUAUCAAUAAGCGGAGGAAAAGAAACUAACAAGGAUUCCCCUAGUAACUGCGAGUGAAGCGGGAAAAGCUCAAAUUUAAAAUCUGGCGGCCUUUU